GAGGAGGAAGUGAGAUAGGAGAUGCCAGAAAAAGCAGAAGGAAGAGGAGAGGAAGAGAAAGAGAGAAGCAAAGAGCUCCCUGGAAGGUGGGAAGGUGAGAGCAAGAAUUAGGUUCCUCCUUUCUGAACUAUGUUUCCAUGGCAGAGUGAGCCACCAAGCACCAGACCCUUUGAGGACUGCCAUCAACGACAAAUGUUCUUUUAUAGAACACAGCUCCAGAGAUGUGACAUACAGAGUGUGGCAUACACAUGGUGAACAGCCUGGGAAGAAGAAGGAAGGGCUGUGGUGGGGAGGGAACUCUUGUUUUUCUCCAGCUGAUUGAUGGGGACUUAGAAAAGCUGGAGUGGGAAGGGGUUCUCUUCUGGGCAUUUGAGAAACAGAGAUGCUGAAGCAGAUUCAUCUUGACUUCUGAGCUCAGGAAGAGAUAGAUGGGGUCCUACCCUGAUAGGCUGACCCUAGGAAGUCAUGUUUCAAAGAGGAAAUCUGAAAUCCCAGGUUAAGCUGGGAAAACCUAGAAUGAGCCCUAGCUCAUAUCUUGUCAGAAGCUGCUAGGCUCCAUCUGAAUAUAGUACAGUGCUCAAGAGUAGGGCCAGACACCAUGGAUCACAUCCUGGGCCUUCCUGAGAAAGUAGGGACAUACUACCCUGUACUUCAGUUUCCUUAUUAUAAAGAGGGACCAUCAGCUGAUCUAUGCCAUAGCUCUGUUGUGGGCAUCAAACCUAAGGGCCUGGUGAAUACUAUAUAUUAUUUGUAUCAUUAAUUUAUUUGGCUAUCAUAGACUCUCAUGCAGCCCUUGUCAUGGAGAGAGAAAGAGAAGAUGGCUUCCCUCAAGCAGGCAGAGAUUCUGUGCUUUGUCACCUUGUCUGUGAUAUCUGCUGUCUUGAGGUUAUUAUUGCUGUGAUGAAACACCUUAUUCAAAUCAU
Mus musculus (house mouse) is the source of this 923-nucleotide long non-coding RNA. RefSeq annotates it as predicted gene, 35079. The record is from RefSeq and is a predicted model, not a curated record. Lineage: Eukaryota; Metazoa; Chordata; Mammalia; Rodentia; Muridae. The transcript has 2 exons.